This 885-nucleotide long non-coding RNA is filed under the name Gossypium barbadense (sea-island cotton). RNAcentral's name for it is "long non-coding RNA (GBAR_LNC002842)". The record is from RNAcentral. Lineage: Eukaryota; Viridiplantae; Streptophyta; Magnoliopsida; Malvales; Malvaceae.
CCCCCUCUCUCCUGCGAUUUCUGACUAGAGAGCCGACCACCGUCCGGUCUCCUGAUCGCCGUCGAUCGCUGCCGUCGCUGUCAUUGCCGGCCGUCAGCCACCGUUCACGGUGGCCAAAAAAUCGAAAAAGGUAUUUUUUUGUUUUUUAUAUUUUUUCUUUGUAUUUUUAAUAUAUAUAUGUGUGUAAAAAGGUAAAAGAAAAUAAAUAGAUCUAAGUGUGUAGAUAGAUUCGAAGAAAAGCAAAUAAAUAGAAGGGAAAAUAAAAAAAACCUUUCGUCCGAAUCUAUUCCUUUGUUUUAGUACUUCUUACUGAGAUUGAAUGCUCCUAUUAGUGUUUGAAUCUAUAUUUUUUAUUUUUAUUUUUCGUCAAUACUCUUGCUGUGAUUUUUUGUGUUUCAAAAAGGGUAAAAAUCCCCCCUUACAAAUGUUUGGAUUUGGCUUUUAUAGCCAUACAACUUGAUUUUCUAUUAUUUUCUGUCUUGUCUCUUUUAAUGUGUGCAAGUGUUGAAGAUGGACGGUGGACGUGACCUUGGGCGGUGGCCGCAGCGGUGUCAGAGGCAAGUGGGGAGGCUAGGGUUAGGACGGCUAGGGUUCUACGAUUUUCUGAUUUUUUUUGUGUUGGGCUAGGUUAAUUUUAGGUUUUGGGCUUUAGGAUAGUGGGGCUGAUGUUUGGGUUUAAAAUGUUGUAAGCGGGUUUGGGUUUUGUGGGUUUAAUUGUAAUGGGUUGGUAGUUUAGGGGUGUUAGCUAAGGUGGGUCAAAAUUGGCCUGCAAUAGCACCACUAAUAACAAAGCUCCAAAACGGCAUAGUUUAAACUAUUAAUACAUGUCUGCGGCAUUUCUUUCUAAAACGCCACUAAGUAUGCAAUAUAAAGCCCAAUAAUUUU